Non-coding RNA from Ameiurus melas (black bullhead), 74 nucleotides. NCBI's taxonomy places the organism in Eukaryota, Metazoa, Chordata, Actinopteri, Siluriformes, Ictaluridae. The record is from the annotation of a GenBank genome assembly.
GGCACUGUGAUUUAGUGGUUAGCAUGUUUGACUUGCACUUGCAUGGGUCGGAGGUUUGAAUCCUGCCUCGGCCC